AUGCAGCCGCUAAUAUUUAUGAUCAAGUUAUCAUCAACUCCCUGCAAAAUUCAUUUACUGAUGCCGGAGACCUGUUAUGGCGCGGUGGCUUUAGUCCGCCGGCUUGAACUAUCUCGACUCUCCAUUUGCCUCAUUCGGCAUCCCCAACCUUCUAAUGCAGGGUUAUGGAGCACAGUCUGCUGA
Molecule: non-coding RNA, 183 nt
Organism: Vicia faba (fava bean)
Lineage: Eukaryota; Viridiplantae; Streptophyta; Magnoliopsida; Fabales; Fabaceae
Source: the annotation of a GenBank genome assembly